GAUAAACGCUGGCGGCGUGCCUAAUGCAUGCAAGUCGAACGGGUCUCGGGCUCCGGCCUGAGGUCAGUGGCGGACGGGUGAGGAACACGUACGAGACCUGCCCUUCUGUGGGGAAUAACCCUUCGAAAGGGGGGCUAAUGCCGCAUACGCUUGCUGGGAUAGGGCCUGGCAAGGAAAGGCCGGUGCGAACCGGUCGCGGGAGGAGGGGCGUGCGGCCGAUUAGCUAGUUGGUGGGGUAAGAGCCUACCAAGGCGGUGAUCGGUAGCUGGUCUGAGAG
RNAcentral lists this ribosomal RNA (277 nucleotides) under uncultured bacterium. RNAcentral describes it as "partial 16S ribosomal RNA". It matches the Rfam family "Bacterial small subunit ribosomal RNA", at positions 28 to 298 of the family's 1533-position model. The record is from RNAcentral.